GGGAAACUGAGGAUAAUACCCCAUAGAUGUGGUGUGCUGGAAUGCUUCCACGUUCAAAGCUCCGGCGCUCCAGGAUGAGUCUGCGGCCUAUCAGGCUGUAGUGGGUGUAACGGACCCACUAACCGACGACGGAUACGGGUUGUGAGAGCAAUAACCCGGAGAUGAUAUCUGAGACACGAUAUCAGGCCCUACGGGGCGCAGCAGGCGCCGAAACCUUCACACUGCGCGAAAGCGCGAUGAGGGGAAUCCAAAGUGCUUGCCGGAAGGUGUAAGCUGUUUUUUAUGUCCAAAAAGGAAAAAAGAGAAAGGGCUGGUUAAAAACGGGUGCCCAGCCGCCGGGGUAAAUACCUGCGGCUAAGGGUGGGGACCCGUUUUUAUUUGGCCCUAAAAAGGUCCCGUGGCCGUGUUUAUUAAAAUGCCUAGGAAAUUUGUAUGGCUAAAACCAUACAAAUUUCUGGGUAAGACUUGUAAAAUUGGAAAUCGGGAAAAAGCUAGAAGUCCUCCUGGGGAAAAAGGUGAAAUUUCUGUAAUCCCUAGGGGGGCCCACCAUUGGCGGAGGCCUCCUAGCUAGAAACGAGUUUAACGGUAGAGGGAGAAACCCUGGGGCCGCAAACGGGAAUUAGAUCCCCCGGUAGUCCAGGGUGUAACACGCUGCGGGCUUGGUGGCCGGAAGUUCCUACGUGGGCGUCCGGUGCCGGAAAAAAAUUGUUCAGGCCUGCCUGCUUGGGGAAGUACGGUCCGCAAGACUGAAACUUUAA
This 758-nucleotide ribosomal RNA is filed under the name uncultured archaeon. Its description in RNAcentral is "partial 16S ribosomal RNA". It matches the Rfam family "Archaeal small subunit ribosomal RNA", at positions 134 to 860 of the family's 1478-position model. The record is from RNAcentral.